RNAcentral lists this small RNA (122 nucleotides) under Curtobacterium sp. ER1/6. RNAcentral describes it as "yybP-ykoY leader". The record is from RNAcentral. Lineage: Bacteria; Bacillati; Actinomycetota; Actinomycetes; Micrococcales; Microbacteriaceae.
GUGGGGGUCGAAGGGGAGUAGCUCCCAACGCGUGCAUCGACACACUGGCCAUCACGACGAUCGGCCCGGUGCACCACCCGUGCGGUCCCACCCGCCGGGCGAGCGAGACCUUCGGCCGUCCU